AAGUCGUAACAAGGUUUCCGUAGGUGAACCUGCGGAAGGAUCAUUUCCGAACAAAACAUCAUAUCAACCAACCAUGUGAAAUGUUUUGGGUGACCUUUACUGGAGGGAUAGCUGGAGUUGUUAGACAUAUAUACUACACACCUAGUCGUGUGUGUGUGUAUGGAUAGCUCAUCUCCGAUUUUUUUAUCCCUCCAGGCCUUGAUGAACUACCUUGUAACAAAGGUUGAUUUUAUAUCGUCUUUUCAACUUUAGAAAAGUAAAUGAUAUGACAACUUUCAACGGUGGAUCUCUUGGCUCGU
RNAcentral lists this unclassified non-coding RNA (299 nucleotides) under fungal sp. RNAcentral describes it as "partial internal transcribed spacer region". The stretch from base 1 to 46 matches the Rfam family "Eukaryotic small subunit ribosomal RNA", at positions 1786 to 1831 of the family's 1831-position model. The record is from RNAcentral. Lineage: Eukaryota; Fungi.